GGGGAUGUAGCUCAAAUGGUAGAGCGCCCGCUUUGCAUGCGGGAGGUACAGGGUUCGAUUCCCUGCAUCUCCA
RNAcentral lists this transfer RNA (73 nucleotides) under Cajanus cajan (pigeon pea). It matches the Rfam family "tRNA". Rfam says of the family: Transfer RNA (tRNA) molecules are approximately 80 nucleotides in length. The record is from Rfam by way of RNAcentral. Lineage: Eukaryota; Viridiplantae; Streptophyta; Magnoliopsida; Fabales; Fabaceae.